This 130-nucleotide microRNA precursor is filed under the name Cucumis melo (muskmelon). RNAcentral's name for it is "miR166g stem-loop (cme-MIR166g)". Its record names the gene cme-MIR166g. It matches the Rfam family "mir-166 microRNA precursor family". Rfam says of the family: This family represents the plant microRNA (miRNA) precursor mir-166. Animal miRNAs are transcribed as ~70nt precursors and subsequently processed by the Dicer enzyme to give a ~22nt product. In plants the precursor sequences may be longer, and the carpel factory (caf) enzyme appears to be involved in processing. The record is from miRBase by way of RNAcentral. Lineage: Eukaryota; Viridiplantae; Streptophyta; Magnoliopsida; Cucurbitales; Cucurbitaceae.
UGAUGGGAAUGUUGUUUGGCUCGAGGUUCAUAUAUAUCAAACUAUAUCAAAUUUUUUGGAUAAAGAAAAAGGGUUGUUGUUGGAUUGUUAAAUAUAUAAUCUCGGACCAGGCUUCAUUCCCGUCAACCAA